UACGUAGGGUGCAAGCGUUGUCCGGAAUUAUUGGGCGUAGAGAGCUCGUAGGCGGUUUGUCGCGUCUGGUGUGAAAAUCCAGGGCUUAACCCUGGACCUGCAUCGGGUACGGGCAGACUAGAGUGCGGUAGGGGAGAUCGGAAUUCCUGGUGUAGCGGUGAAAUGCGCAGAUAUCAGGAGGAACACCGGUGGCGAAGGCGGAUCUCUGGGCCGUAACUGACGCUGAGGAGCGAAAGCAUGGGGAGCGAACAGG
This 253-nucleotide ribosomal RNA is filed under the name uncultured bacterium. RNAcentral describes it as "partial 16S ribosomal RNA". It matches the Rfam family "Bacterial small subunit ribosomal RNA", at positions 524 to 776 of the family's 1533-position model. The record is from RNAcentral.